Cucumis melo (muskmelon) is the source of this 1354-nucleotide long non-coding RNA. RefSeq lists it as uncharacterized. The record is from RefSeq and is a predicted model, not a curated record. The transcript has 5 exons. Lineage: Eukaryota; Viridiplantae; Streptophyta; Magnoliopsida; Cucurbitales; Cucurbitaceae.
CUCUCCCCCUCCUUCUCGAUUUUUCUCUUCAUCUUUCCCUUCUUCUUCAUCAUCAUCAUGAUGGUUGCCGACACCACCAUCUCUACCUAUCUCUCCAUCGUCGCACGCCGAUAGCUACUAUAUUUGAGCGUCAACCACAUCUUCCCCAUUUUUUUUCUUUUUCCUUUGGGUCCUUAAACUUGAGAUAGAUGUUGAGGUAGAAUCUGAGAAAGAAGAAGAAGAGGAAAGGGCUGAGAAUUAAGGUGAAGAAAUAAAGAAAACCAAAAAGGGAUAGAUAGCCAUGGCAGCAGCUUCGCGUUUACAGACACCUUCUGGUUGUUUGCGUCGAUUUGAACACCACAAAAAGAAUUAAGAGGGCAGUUGGUUUUCAGGCAAAAUCAGGAGGCCUCUGGUUUUUCUUGUAUUUCAUAGUGUACCGGUGGAGCUAGGAUCUCUACUUGGCUAAAUUGAAGUGGGGAAAGCGUAAAAUCCUAGGGGAUCGAGUAAUUGAUUCGCCACCUACGGUUGUCAGGGGAUUCCGGGGCUGAAAGAGGUCGUGACCGGAGAUUCGAGAACCUGAGCCCAGGUGAGGACGUGGAUGGAGGAUUGUGAUAUAGCUUCGAGCCUAGCUUAACCCAUGGUUGGUUGGCUCUAUGUGCACAUAGGAGCGGUAUGUUGUUACCGUGGUAGGUGCUAAGUAUGCGUGAGCUCUGUUUGGCCGCGUGUUUCCUUGUGGAUAUGGAUCACGUGUGAGCUACUUCGAGCCGUGUAUUUAGUAUGCUAUCAUGGUCGGAUUGGAUGGAGGUUGCUACCGUGGUAUGUGCUAAGUAUGCGUGAACUCCGUUUGGUCGCAUGUUUCUUUGUGGAUAUGGAGCACAUGUGAGCUAUCCUUGGGCCGUAUGCUUAGUAUACUAUCAUGGUUGGGUUGGAUUGGUUGGAUCAGAUUGGAUGGAGGUUGUUAUCGUGGUGGGUACUAAAUAUGCGUGAGCUAGUUUUGGCUGCAUGAUUUUUUUAGUCAUGUGCGAGCUAUCUUUGGCCGUAUAUUUAUAUGCCUUGCCAUGGUUGGUUUGGAUACAGGUAGCGGUCAAGGACCAAGCAUUGGUUGUGCUUUUCUGUCAUUGAUUGUAGUUUCUCAUUCUUGUUGUAUGUAUAUAUUUAUGUGUAGUAUUGUAUUAUUGGGUGAUUAGAAGAAGCGAGAGUCAUGAUGAGAAUUUGAGUUUGAAAGGUCUUUUAUUAGAUUGUAAGCCUUCUAUAACUAGUUCGUAGUUGAAUAUAAAUUCUGAAUGAGAUUCUGGGAUUGUCUGGAUGAGUGUGUGGUGAGACACACUCGAUGAUAUUUGAGUUUUUGAAAAGCAUAGAAGUGUGUUUUUCCUUC